Colias croceus (clouded yellow) is the source of this 274-nucleotide long non-coding RNA. RefSeq lists it as uncharacterized. Lineage: Eukaryota; Metazoa; Arthropoda; Insecta; Lepidoptera; Pieridae. The record is from RefSeq and is a predicted model, not a curated record. The transcript is spliced from 2 exons.
GUACAUUAUUAUGACUUGUAUUUAGUUCAGUUUAUUUACGAGAUUCUGUCAAAACCAAAACGAGAAGCUUUGUUUGUUUUCGUUUUUAAUUGUUGACUAAUAUUUUAAAAAUAAGUGCUAAAUAUGGUUUAUGGAUGGACUGUGAGGUUAUGUAGAAUCUACAGGCAGAAAAUAAGCUUUAUAUGACUUAUUGCUUACGUUCGCAAUAACAAAUUUGUUCAAGAGAGGAGAAGAAUUAAUCCAUCCCAAAUGUAAAUAAUAAUACGAUUCUCCA